Molecule: ribosomal RNA, 485 nt
Filed under: uncultured bacterium
Lineage: Bacteria
Description: bacterial SSU rRNA
Rfam family: Bacterial small subunit ribosomal RNA
Source: RNAcentral
AUUGAACGCUGGCGGCAUGCCUAACACAUGCAAGUCGAACGGGGGUAGGGGCAACUCUACUUCAGUGGCGGACGGGUGAGGAAUGCGUCGGAAUCUACCCUAUGGUGGGGGAUAACACAGGGAAACUUGUGCUAAUACCGCAUGAUGUCGAGAGACCAAAGCAGGGGACCGCAAGGCCUUGCGCGAUAGGAUGAGCCGACGCCCGAUUAGCUAGUUGGUAGGGUAAAGGCCUACCAAGGCGACGAUCGGUAGCUGGUCUGAGAGGAUGAUCAGCCACACUGGGACUGAGACACGGCCCAGACUCCUACGGGAGGCAGCAGUGGGGAAUAUUGGACAAUGGGCGCAAGCCUGAUCCAGCAAUGCCGCGUGUGUGAAGAAGGCCUGCGGGUUGUAAAGCACUUUUGUUCGGGAAGAAAUCAUGCUGGUUAAUACCUGGUAUGGAUGACGGUACCGAAAGAAUAAGCACCGGCUAACUUCGUGCCAGC